AGUGACGGCAGGCUGAUGGACUCAUGAAGCAUUCCUUGUCAGAUGGUUUUCAUCAGGCUGGUGUUAGUGUGAGCACACUGAGGGCCCAGGUGGCUGUCUGCAUACUGUGGAGAGCAGGAGCACACUGCAUGAGCAACUGUUCCUGAAAAGUCUCCUGCACGGUGUCUGGAAUUAGAGUAAACUCAUUUCGUGCUAGUCUGCAGUUCCAAGUUGCACUGCAAGGUGGAUGACGAGAAGGGAUUGUCACCAUGCGUCGACCAGUUAGGAAAGUUUUCACUGUAUACCCACCCUAUGAGUGCAUGUCUCUUAGGAGCAAACAGUACCUCACUUGAAGCCCAGGGGCAUGGAUGGAUCACACUGUGUCUAGGAGCUCCUCAACUUGCUCCCGCGUUCCAUGUGUUACGACUCUAACGGGUCUGCAAUGCUAGGUCGAAGCCAAGGCUUCACCUAUUUGGUUGUGGGGGGUGGGCACGUCAAUCCAUGUCAUAGCCAUUCACAUCUUGGUCUUGGCUCAUGGCUGUAGGCAGCUUCAGGAUCACUGCAUGUUGUACCAUGACUCUCUGGACUUCUGCAUUACCAUUUGUUGGAGUGCGUGUUCCCUGACUGCCUGAGCUGCCGGAAAUGUUCCAGGGUAUGAAAGUCAGGUCUGCCUGAACUAGUGGUGUGUCUGACUAGCCUUCUCAAACCUGUUGCUUUCCUGCCGGCUUGAAGACAGUUGCACUGCGUGGCAAAAUAUUCCAUAAGCACAUCCCUGGAGGAGACAACAAGUGAGAGCUGGCUCCCUGUGCAGCUGAAUAGUCCCCAAAGCUUGGGACAUGCAGAAAGGUAUGAGUGCUGGCUCUCCCAGCUGUGAAGGGGUCCUAGUCAUUCUGUGGGAAGCUGCGAAGUUUCAAUGCAGGCUCGAUGCGGCUGAACUGGAUACUCCAAACUUCUGCCAUUUGAUGUCUAGACGAAGGGUCUUAUUAUUUACUUCUUAGGCCCUGGCCCUUUGUUCACUAGGGCAGGUAGGGACAGGGGGUGUUUACUGUGUAGCCCAGUGGUCCUCAUGGUAGUGCAGACCAGCAGCUGCAUGGAGGGUUUAGAUUUUCUACGUGCUGGCCAGUACUCGACAGACCUCCAUGUGACUUGUCCUUGAGGCCAGCAUUUUUCCACGCCACCAUCCUUAAAAUAUCCACAAGGUGGCACGCAGGACCAGGGCAAGAGCACAGUUGGCCUACCAGUCCUCAGAAGGCUUACUUGCUAAAUAGCAGGCAGAGUGAUGACAUUUGGAUGGCAUUACUAACCACAACUUGAGCAGUCUACUUAAGUCAAACUAGGCAGGGCAGGUUCAGCCUGGACGUAAACUUGACUGAAGAUCAGGCGAAUGCCACACAGUAAGAGUGAGGGCACACUGUGCUCUUCACAGGGCCUCAUUUUUUGAUGUGAGUCAAAAAAGGGGGAAAUCAGGCUCAAUCCCAAACUCUCUGCUGGAUGUUGGUGUACUAUUUGCUGUCUGUGGCAGGGUGGUUGGACUGCAUGGCUAGGCCCUGCUCAUUUCCCCACCAGCUGUGAUGUGAAGGGAUGGUAGGCUGAGGAACUCAUGAACCAUUCCAUUGUAGGUGGGUGGCUUCAAUCUGGGGUUAGUUUGAGACCAUGGCAGCAUCAGUGAACCUGAAAAGGUCGGCAGGAGGCAAUGAUGGAUGUCCUGUGGCUCAUCUCUCGGCUGGCUGGCUAGAGACGGCAGUGCUUCACACACAAUGAGGGAUGUAUGCACGCUGUGGAGAGCAGGAGUGCCCGUCCUGACCAUUGUUAGUACAGAUUCUCCCCGAUGGAGCAUAGCCUGACCGUGACCUCACAUCAUGCUAGCC
This is a long non-coding RNA of Fukomys damarensis (Damara mole-rat), 1847 nucleotides long. RefSeq lists it as uncharacterized. Lineage: Eukaryota; Metazoa; Chordata; Mammalia; Rodentia; Bathyergidae. The transcript has 3 exons. The record is from RefSeq and is a predicted model, not a curated record.